This 255-nucleotide ribosomal RNA is filed under the name uncultured bacterium. Its description in RNAcentral is "partial small subunit ribosomal RNA". It matches the Rfam family "Bacterial small subunit ribosomal RNA", at positions 26 to 285 of the family's 1533-position model. The record is from RNAcentral.
AGGACGAACGCUGGCGGCGUGCUUAACACAUGCAAGUCGAGCGGAAAGGCCCUUCGGGGUACUCGAGCGGCGAACGGGUGAGUAGCACGUGAGUAACCUGCCCUUGGCUCUGGGAUAGCUCCGGGAAACCGGAAUUAAUACCGGAUAUGACUGCGGCCGACAUCGGCUGUGGUGGAAAGAUUUAUCGGCCAGGGAUGGGCUCGCGGCCUAUCAGCUUGUUGGUGGGGUAACGGCCUACCAAGGCGACGACGGGUA